RNAcentral lists this ribosomal RNA (253 nucleotides) under uncultured bacterium. RNAcentral describes it as "partial 16S ribosomal RNA". It matches the Rfam family "Bacterial small subunit ribosomal RNA", at positions 524 to 776 of the family's 1533-position model. The record is from RNAcentral.
UACGGAGGGUGCGAGCGUUGUCCGGAAUCAUUGGGCGUAAAGCGCGUGUAGGCGGUUCGGUAAGUCUGCUGUGAAAGUCCAGGGCUCAACCCUGGGAUGCCGGUGGAUACUGUCGAACUAGAGUACGGAAGAGGCGAGUGGAAUUCCCGGUGUAGCGGUGAAAUGCGCAGAUAUCGGGAGGAACACCAAUUGCGAAGGCAGCUCGCUGGGACGUCACUGACGCUGAGACGCGAAAGCGUGGGGAGCAAACAGG